UCAGUAGAGCGGCGCACGGGUGAGUAACACGUGAGUAACCUACCCUGGGGUGCGGAACAACCAUUGGAAACGAUGGCUAAUGCCGCAUAAGCCCACGGCCAUGCAGGUGGCAGUGGGAAAAGCGGGCUUUCGGGCUCGUGCCUCGGGAUGGGCUCGCGGCCCAUUAGCUAGUUGGUGGGGUAAUGGCCCACCAAGGCUGAGAUGGGUAGCUGGUCUGAGAGGAUGAUCAGCCACACUGGGACUGAGACACGGCCCAGACUCC
This 262-nucleotide ribosomal RNA is filed under the name uncultured bacterium. Its description in RNAcentral is "partial 16S ribosomal RNA". It matches the Rfam family "Bacterial small subunit ribosomal RNA", at positions 87 to 339 of the family's 1533-position model. The record is from RNAcentral.